GAACGGUAGCAGACAAGAGCUUGCUCUUGUGCUGACGAGUGGCGGACGGGUGAGUAAUGCGUAGGAAUCUGCCUGAUAGUGGGGGACAACAUUCGGAAACGGAUGCUAAUACCGCAUACGCACUACGGUGGAAAGUGGGGGACCUUCGGGCCUCACGCUAUUGGAUGAGCCUAAGUCGGAUUAGCUUGUUGGUGAGGUAAUAGCUCACCAAGGCGACGAUCCGUAGCUGGUCUGAGAGGACGAUCAGCCACACUGGGACUGAGACACGGCCCAGACUCCUACGGGAGGCAGCAGUGGGGAAUAUUGGACAAUGGGCGCAAGCCUGAUCCAGCAAUGCCGCGUGUGUGAAGAAGGCCUGCGGGUUGUAAAGCACUUUCAGUAGAGAAGAAAAGCCCAGGGUUAAUAACCCUGAGUCUUGACGUAACCUACAGAAGAAGCACCGGCUAACUCCGUGCCAGCAGCCGCGGUAAUACGGAGGGUGCGAGCGUUAAUCGGAAUUACUGGGCGUAAAGCGCGCGUAGGCGGUUUUGUCAGUCGGAUGUGAAAGCCCUGGGCUUAACCUGGGAAUUGCAUUCGAUACUGCAUAACUAGAGUAUGGUAGAGGGAAGUGGAAUUUCCGGUGUAGCGGUGAAAUGCGUAGAUAUCGGAAGGAACACCGGUGGCGAAAGCGACUCUCUGGCCUAUUACUGACGCUGAGGCCCGAAAGCUAGGGGAGCAAACAGGAUUAGAUACCCUGGUAGUCCUAGCCGUAAACGAUGGGCACUAAGUAGAGGGGAUUCCGAUAUUCUCUCUGCCGGAGCU
Molecule: ribosomal RNA, 801 nt
Filed under: uncultured bacterium
Lineage: Bacteria
Description: bacterial SSU rRNA
Rfam family: Bacterial small subunit ribosomal RNA
Source: RNAcentral